This 254-nucleotide ribosomal RNA is filed under the name uncultured bacterium. RNAcentral describes it as "partial 16S ribosomal RNA". It matches the Rfam family "Bacterial small subunit ribosomal RNA", at positions 524 to 776 of the family's 1533-position model. The record is from RNAcentral.
UACAGAGGUCCCAAGCGUUGUUCGGAUUCACUGGGCGUAAAGGGUGCGUAGGCGGUCGGGUAAGUCUGAUGUGAAAUCUCACAGCUUAACUGUGAAACUGCAUUGGAUACUAUUCGGCUUGAGAGUUGGAGGGGGGGACUGGAAUUCUUGGUGUAGCAGUGAAAUGCGUAGAUAUCAAGAGGAACACCAGUGGCGAAGGCGGCUAUCUGGACGGUUUCUGACGCUAAGACGCGAAAGCGUGGGGAGCGAACAGG